CCGCUCUGGUUUCUCUUCAUCACGUACAAAUCUUUCGCCUUUUACUAAAGAUUUCCGUGGAGAGGAACACAGGUGAGCCUGUGCUAUUUUUGGAGUCCCUGCCUUUCGAGGCAGGGC
Megalops cyprinoides (Indo-Pacific tarpon) is the source of this 117-nucleotide small nuclear RNA. RefSeq annotates it as U5 spliceosomal RNA. The transcript has a single exon. The record is from RefSeq and is a predicted model, not a curated record. Lineage: Eukaryota; Metazoa; Chordata; Actinopteri; Elopiformes; Megalopidae.